This 944-nucleotide unclassified non-coding RNA is filed under the name Hevea brasiliensis (rubber tree). The record is from RNAcentral. Lineage: Eukaryota; Viridiplantae; Streptophyta; Magnoliopsida; Malpighiales; Euphorbiaceae.
GUGUCCAUGAACCGACCCACGAACCCUUCUUCGUCUCCUAUCGGCCUUAGUUCCUCUUCGACUAAGGUCACAAGUCUCGGAUUCAGUGUCUUCGAUCCAGAUAGGAACGAAGCGACUGAAUCCGAGGCUCGAUAGCUGAAAUGAGGCAAGUGAAGCAUGCAAUUAAUAAUUAGAGCUUCGCCUCUAACUAACUUGACAUUGGUUGGCUUAAAUAUUUCGUCUGAGUCCAAUCUGCAGUGAUGAAAUGAAAAUGGCUGACCGAUAGAAGCAGCGAAAGCAGUUAACCGACGGCCGGUCUCUUGGACCGUCCCGAACGACCGACGGCCGCUGCCGCUUCUUGACAAUGCUGUGAUCCGAAGAUGCGGAGUUGGAGGUCCAUCUUUUCUAGACACCAAAGCUUGCAUUAACGAUGCCCAUUGAAUUCCUUCCAUUAUAUCGUAAUCGAUAAUAUGAACUCUCCGAUCGUGUGUUACCGAUUCGAAUAUAGCUUGAUUUGCUGUAAAAUGCCCAAAUUUAACAAAAGGAGACAUAUCCUGUAAUAGCUGAAAAGCUGCAAGUACAUCUCCCUGACGGUGUUCGUCUUUGUAAUUUGGGGAAAACAUGUGUUUAGUGUGUAACGUACCGGAAGCCAUCAACGCCUGCAAGGCGUCAGUGAAAUACGCAGCCAAUCUCUCCAUAUUAGUAGCGCCGUUUGGGGACGCUAAUUCCUUGAGCCGAACCAAUAUCACUCGAGCCAACUCACGGCUUUUGUUAACGCCGGUUAAUGCCUCCGCUGCUGCCAUGAGAAGGUGAACAAGCUUCAGCCCGUUAAUAUCUUCCGAUUGAUUGUUAUUGGAGUCACCUGAUUCUUCUUCUUCCUCCAUAAACUCAGCACAAUCUUGAUGUUCGGAUUUGUAAAAGCAAUUACCCGAUCCCUGCACCAUAGAUUCAAUUAGAUCUUGAAA